RNAcentral lists this ribosomal RNA (463 nucleotides) under Vreelandella stevensii. Its description in RNAcentral is "partial 16S ribosomal RNA". It matches the Rfam family "Bacterial small subunit ribosomal RNA", at positions 338 to 794 of the family's 1533-position model. Lineage: Bacteria; Pseudomonadati; Pseudomonadota; Gammaproteobacteria; Oceanospirillales; Halomonadaceae. The record is from RNAcentral.
CCUACGGGUGGCAGCAGUGGGGAAUAUUGGACAAUGGGCGAAAGCCUGAUCCAGCCAUGCCGCGUGUGUGAAGAAGGCCUUCGGGUUGUAAAGCACUUUCAGUGGGGAAGAAAGCCUUGGGGCUAAUACCCUCGAGGAAGGACAUCACCCACAGAAGAAGCACCGGCUAACUCCGUGCCAGCAGCCGCGGUAAUACGGAGGGUGCGAGCGUUAAUCGGAAUUACUGGGCGUAAAGCGCGCGUAGGCGGUCUGAUAAGCCGGUUGUGAAAGCCCCGGGCUCAACCUGGGAACGGCAUCCGGAACUGUCAGGCUAGAGUGCAGGAGAGGAAGGUAGAAUUCCCGGUGUAGCGGUGAAAUGCGUAGAGAUCGGGAGGAAUACCAGUGGCGAAGGCGGCCUUCUGGACUGACACUGACGCUGAGGUGCGAAAGCGUGGGUAGCAAACAGGAUUAGAUACCCUAUAUC